CCCUUAGAUGUUCUGGGCCGCACGCGUGCUACACUGAACGGUUCAAUGGGUAAGGUAGUGCGAAAGCAUGACCUAAUCUCGGAAUCCGUUCGUGCUGGGGAUAGAAGCUUGCAAUUAUCCUUCUUGAACGAGGAAUACCUUGUAAGCGUGAGUCAUCAUCUCACGCUGAAUACGUCCCUGCCCUUUGUACACACCGCCCGUCGCUCCUACCGAUUGAGUGUUCCGGUGAGGCUUUGGGAGAAUGGCCUCAACAUGAGUUUAUCGUGUUUUGCCGUUUGAACUUAGUCAAACCUUAUCACUUAGAGGAAGGAGAAGUCGUAACA
This 323-nucleotide ribosomal RNA is filed under the name uncultured eukaryote. RNAcentral describes it as "partial 18S ribosomal RNA". It matches the Rfam family "Eukaryotic small subunit ribosomal RNA", at positions 1470 to 1796 of the family's 1831-position model. The record is from RNAcentral.